CCUACGGGAGGCAGCAGUGGGGGAUAUUGCACAAUGGGGGGAACCCUGAUGCAGCGACGCCGCGUGGGUGAAGGAGCGUUUCGGCGCGUAAAGCCCUAUCGGCAGGGAAGAAGGAGGACGGUACCUGACUAAGAAGCCCCGGCUAACUACGUGCCAGCAGCCGCGGUAAUCCGUAGGGGGCAAGCGUUAUCCGGAUUUACUGGGUGUAAAGGGGGCGCAGACGGCAGCGCAAGCCAGGCGUGAAAGCCCGGGGGCCAACCCCGGGACUGCUCUUGGAACUGCGCGGCUGGAGUGCAGGAGGGGCAGGCGGAAUUCCUGGUGUAGCGGUGAAAUGCGUAGAUAUCAGGAGGAACACCGGUGGCGAAGGCGGCCUGCUGGACUGCGACUGACGUUGAGGCCCGAAAGCGUGGGGAGCAAACAGGAUUAGAUACCCUAGUAGUC
This 441-nucleotide ribosomal RNA is filed under the name uncultured bacterium. Its description in RNAcentral is "partial 16S ribosomal RNA". It matches the Rfam family "Bacterial small subunit ribosomal RNA", at positions 338 to 795 of the family's 1533-position model. The record is from RNAcentral.